This is a long non-coding RNA of Bos grunniens (domestic yak), 2372 nucleotides long. NCBI's taxonomy places the organism in Eukaryota, Metazoa, Chordata, Mammalia, Artiodactyla, Bovidae. The record is from Ensembl.
AUGGGUCCUGGCCUUCCAGUGAAGUUCUGGCUUCAUCUCACACCGACAAGGACAGCAGGUCACAUGAGCACCAACGCUGCUGACUCUAACGGGACCAUCUGCAGCCUCGCUCCCUCUCUGUGGGUGAACCAGAUGUGUCAACUGUACAGCUCUGGCAGGGCAUGCGGCUUCUCUCCUGGGACAGUGGGACCCAGCCAAACACACAGGGUAUCCGGCCACCCCCAGUCGCUGCCCCUUCCCCUCCCCCAGGCUGCUUACCUCUUCCAGCUGGAUCUCCCGCUCAUAAACCAGCUUUCGGACCAUGCUGGCCACAGACACCAUCCACGUGAGCAUCAUUAUCAGGGGGAAGAAGAAGCCGACGUUGUUUAAGAACCUGUGGGGACGGGCCAGUCAGCAUCCAGGCUGCCCCAAGAUGCUCUCAGUGAGUUCAGCUCCCACACUUCAUCCUGCAGUCCUUACAGCCCUGGGGUUCACCCAGGAACACAACCUCAUUUGACCCUAUGACUGGGGCAGAACCACUGCUGGGUACCCUGAUUUUGAAGGAUACUAAGUGCUAAACCUCACAGAACAGAGUAAAGAGAGAGUCAUGAGGGGCCUGGAAUUGGAGGAACCAGACUCUGGGGUUCUUGGAGUCACUAUCCAAGAUCCAGAGAAGUCCAGAUGUUUUGCACAGACUUUUCAGAGUGAGGCCAUUUCAUGCAAAUUAAAGAGAAUAAAAAACUGAAGAGAAAUUACAAUACAUGGAUGUAUAACUCAACCCCUUUUCCAAUCUGCUCCUGGAAAUGAGUCCCAACCAACAAGGGAAGGAAAAACUGACACUGUGAUUCUGAUACAUAUUUGGAAGAGACGGCCAACUAUUCGAAAAAGCUGCUAAACAUAAUCAAGUUCACAUGAGAGUUACAUGAAAAAAUGUAUAUAAGAACUCAGGUUAAAUCAUCUCAAGAGAUCUUCUUCAGGAAGUUACCAGAAGACAAACCAGCCCACAAAAGAAUGACUUUUGUGCAUUCUUUUGGAUAAAGAUAAAGAAAGGAUAAAGCAAGAAGUGACUGUAUUUCCAGUAAAAAUAAGACUGAAACAAAUAUUAAAAAUAAGGUGACAAGACAGACUGGAAAUGUUUUGUUCCUGGAAAUGUAAAAAUGAGACAAAAAACAACAAUUGCAAGAUUGGGGAAAUGAGCCAGAGAGGAAGAAUAAAGUUGAUGAAAUCCAAAAUAAAAGGCUAUUAUUAGGCUAUUUGUUUGGGGCUUCCCUGGCAGUCCAGGGGUUAAGAAUCUGCUUUGCAAUGUAGGGGACAUGGGUUCCAUCCCUGGUCUGGAAAGAUCCCACAGGCUGCAGAGCAACUAAGCCCACAUGCCACAAUUACCGAGCCAGCGCUCCAGAGCCCCUGAGCUGCAGCUACUGAGGCCCAUCCAUCUAGAGCCUGUGCUCCACAAUGGGGAGCCACCACAGUGAGGAGCACGCACACCACAAAUGGAGAGAAGCCACUGCCCGAAGCAACUCGAGAAAGCCUGCACACAGCAACGAAGACCCACCAGUCAACACAUACAAAGAAAUCAAUCUUUUUUUUUAAAGGCUAUUUUUUUUAACACUGACAAAUGUAGACUACAAGGUCAGUCAUCUUCUAAUGGUACAAAGGAAGACUUUAGUGGAAGAAGAAAAAUGUUUUUUAUUGGUCAUGGUUAAAAAAAAAAGGAUUGAUAAUAUUUAUACAAAGUUACAACUACAAGGCAACCACUAGAACAGCAGAACAUGACUAAAUAUAAAUAAGAAAAAUAUAAGACACAAUUAAGACCAUAUACACAUGAAAUUCCAUUUCAUACUGUUGAACAGCUAACCUCACCUGUGUAAGAAGUUAUGUGCUGCUCACAACAGACACGCCUGAAAGAAAACACUUCAGAAAAGUUUAAGAUGACAGGAUGGGCAAAAGGCAUGGCAGCAAAUGAGAAUCCAGAGAGAGAAAAGAAAGGAGGAAAAGCAGAAACCACUAAUUUAACCAUAUACAAAGUAGAAUGACAUACUACUAAGGACAUACUAAUGAGACAUACUAAAGACAUACUACAUAAGAAAGACCCAGAACACAGUUAUUCACAGCUCUGCACAGAGCAACUCAACCUCAAGACUAGAAGGCCAAACCACAGGAAAAAUCGAGGGCACGUUCCAGAAGCAGGGACUGUGACUUCUCUCUUUAGCUCAGGACAGAUGAAGUAGACAAAACAAGGACAGAGAACUCCUAAAUAACAAAGUUAAUGCAGGUAAAUUUUCCACUACAAAAACAGGACAUUAAAAAUUCUUUUCAAGUGCCCGUAAAUCAUUCAUCAGAUUAUAUAUUAGUUGAUAGAGGAAAAUGCCAUACGUUCAAAAAAUGAAAAGGAU